This is a long non-coding RNA of Zalophus californianus (California sea lion), 1742 nucleotides long. RefSeq lists it as uncharacterized. The record is from RefSeq and is a predicted model, not a curated record. Lineage: Eukaryota; Metazoa; Chordata; Mammalia; Carnivora; Otariidae. The transcript is spliced from 3 exons.
CCCUGAAGGCCCCUUUCCGGGCUGUCCGGAAAGAUCCAAGUGUCAGCUUGUGUUGGUCUAUUGCCUCUUUUUCACAAGAAAGAAAAAUAUUCUGCCAGGCUCCCCUUGUUCUGUGAGAAGAUCCCCUUCCCCAGAAGAGUGUUUUUCGGCUGGCAUUUCUUUCAGGCAGUGCUGCGGGCAGCCCGUAGGCCCUUGUAAGGCGCGCGCUGCGGCCCCGCCUCCUUCCUUUCGGCCGGAACCGCCAUCUUCCAGGUAGGGCCUGCGCGUGGCUCCCGGUGCCGCGUGUCUCACGGACUCGAGUUCUGAACUUGGGACCGCAGCGGCAGUGCAUUGAGGUCCUUGAGAGACCGUCUAGCUUGUCCUGGGCCCACUGACCUGGGUGGUGGAGUUAUGUUCGUCCCAGACCAGGAGCGGCGUGCGCCGGGCCGGGGGCUGAGGACCAGACGGCAAGGCCGCGGCCCUGCGUGGGGAGAGACUCGAGAAAAGCGAAGCCGAGGCCCUGGGUAAUUUGCCAAAAUGACCAACACAAAGGGAAAGAGGAGAGGUACCCGCUAUAUGUUCUCUAGACCUUUUAGAAAACAUGGAGUUGUUCCUUUGGCCACAUACAUGCGAAUCUAUAAGAAAGGUGAUAUUGUGGACAUCAAGGUAAAUUCUAAAAUUGGGUAAAUAACCUACAGAAUAUUAGAAGGUAGAAAAGUUUAAUUUGGAAUUCAGAUACUAGUGUAUGUUGCAUCUGUUGGCUUUUUAUUCUCCUGAAUAGGGAAAAUCUUUGGUCUGGAUAAGAGCUGGUAAGUGUAGAAUGGCUAUUUAACUGAGAAACCAGAGUUUUUAAAGUGCUAUUCCUGAGUCUAAGAAUUUUCUCGUUACUUGUUUGUUAACAGGUUGUGAAUUUGUGGAGGUAAAAAGGAAUAAUACCUUAGUGCAAAAUUUAAUUGUUGAUGGUGACAGAGAUUGUUAUUUUUGUAAAAACAAGUGAAAGUUUUGUUUUGUGACCAAUAUUUAAAUGUAUCCUGGGACUCUGGAGCUUAAUGAUGAUUGUCUUUUUGAUUGCAUAAAGCAAUGUGAAAAACAACAUUUCACCGGCUCUGAAAGCUCUUGAGUUGCCAUUUAAAAGAAAAAAAAUUUUAGAGUAUCUUAAUUACUUUAGUAAGAGUCAGGAUGUAAAAGGAAGGGGAAAUGCUGGCAUAACUUUAAUCUCCUUUCUUAACAGGGAAUGGGCACUGUUCAAAAAGGAAUGCCCCACAAAUGUUACCAUGGCAAAACUGGAAGAGUCUACAAUGUUACUCAGCAUGCUGUUGGCAUUGUUGUAAACAAACAAGUUAAGUAAGUAACGUCAGGGUUCUUUUUAGCCGAUCAGUAUUCCUUCAUACCCCAUACCCCCUUUUCACUUUGCCAAUUGGACUUAUGUCUUUAUUGGUCAUUCAAGUGGGGCAAAGGAAAUAUCCUUUUAAAACUCAAGCAAACUGGGUGUUUGCCUUGUAUCCUGUCAGAGGAAACAAAUUAAACUAGACUUAAUGGAAGGUUUUAUUAGGGUUUGGUGUUAAGCAGUUCUAGUUUUCAGAGUAUAAAAAAGAAGUAUAGUAAGUAGUAAAUUGAGUUAGUGAUUUGGUUUUGGUUAUAUAGUAUUUCAAGGUCUGUCACCUCAUCAAAAGAAAGAAGUGGAGAUGUUCGGGGGCGUAUGGGUGGUGCGAUUAGUGAAGCAUCUAACUCUUUUUUUUUUUUUUUUAAGAUUUUAUUUUAUU